UAAUAAGUGUUUUAUGGCACUUUUUAAAUCCAUAUCACCUUGUGUGCAAUGUCGGUCGAUCUUCUUUUUUUGAGGAUCGACCAAACAUCAACCUUUAUUUUUAACUCUUUGUCUGAAAAAUAUUAUGAAUAAACAAUUCAAAAUA
Molecule: unclassified non-coding RNA, 145 nt
Filed under: soil metagenome
Description: partial internal transcribed spacer 1
Source: RNAcentral